Molecule: ribosomal RNA, 303 nt
Filed under: uncultured bacterium
Lineage: Bacteria
Description: partial 16S ribosomal RNA
Rfam family: Bacterial small subunit ribosomal RNA
Source: RNAcentral
AGCAGUCGCCACGGUAAUACAGAGGGUGCGAGCGUUAAUCGGAUUUACUGGGCGUAAAGCGUGCGUAGGCGGCUUCUUAAGUCGGAUGUGAACUCCCUGAGCUUAACUUAGGAAUUGCAUUCGAUACUGGGAAGCUAGAGUAUGGGAGAGGAUGGUAGAAUUCCAGGUGUAGCGGUGAAAUGCGUAGAGAUCUGGAGGAAUACCGAUGGCGAAGGCAGCCAUCUGGCCUAAUACUGACGCUGAGGUACGAAAGCAUGGGGAGCAAACAGGAUUAGAUACCCCCGUAGUCCCUGUCUCUUAUAA